This 75-nucleotide ribosomal RNA is filed under the name Citrobacter freundii. The record is from RNAcentral. Lineage: Bacteria; Pseudomonadati; Pseudomonadota; Gammaproteobacteria; Enterobacterales; Enterobacteriaceae. RNAcentral also lists the same sequence under 7 other names.
CCUGGCGGCUGUAGCGCGGUGGUCCCACCUGACCCCAUGCCGAACUCAGAAGUGAAACGCCGUAGCGCCGAUGGU